Molecule: long non-coding RNA, 539 nt
Organism: Zophobas morio
Lineage: Eukaryota; Metazoa; Arthropoda; Insecta; Coleoptera; Tenebrionidae
Exons: 3
Source: RefSeq, a predicted model, not a curated record
AAUUAUAAACUUUUUUCAAACUUGGUCUUACUCUUGGUCCUUCUUAUUAUAUUUGCCCAUUCUCAAGGAACUUUAGUUAGCAAGAAAUUAAAUUGUGAAGAUAUUAAAAAUUGUGAAGACUGCCUUCAACUUUUUAACAACACCCAAAGUAAAUGUUUAUGGUGCAGUAGCACUAGCAGUUGCCUAAACGUAGCUGCUCGCAAUUCGUGUGAAAAGGAGUACAGAGUUACUUGUCCGGACAAUGUUGCUCAAUUUUGGGAUAAGAACAAGAAUACUAUAAUUGCUGUUCUUUCUGUGGUAGGAGGGCUUUUUGUAGUUGGGGCUAUAAUCUGGAUUUAUUUCCUUUGUCGAAAAGCCCACAAGAAAAAAAGGAUGAAAUGGUUGGCCCUACAACAGCAAAAUGCCGAAAAAGAGUCCGAAGAAAGGCAAACCAGACUUGAAGAGAAAAAGGCAAAAAACCAAGAGAAAUAUCAGAUGCUCCGUAAAAAGUACGACAUUUCUUAAAGUUGGCAACAAGUAUGAGGGAAAGAUUUUUAAAA